RNAcentral lists this ribosomal RNA (429 nucleotides) under Bacteroidota bacterium. RNAcentral describes it as "Bacteroidetes bacterium partial 16S ribosomal RNA". It matches the Rfam family "Bacterial small subunit ribosomal RNA", at positions 355 to 776 of the family's 1533-position model. The record is from RNAcentral. Lineage: Bacteria; Pseudomonadati; Bacteroidota.
UAGGGAAUCUUCCGCAAUGGACGCAAGUCUGACGGAGCAACGCCGCGCGAGUGAAGAAGGAUUUCGGUUCGUAAAACUCUGUUGUUAGAGAAGAACAGCGCAUAGAGUAACUGUUAUGCGUGUGACGGUAUCUAACCAGAAAGCCACGGCUAACUACGUGCCAGCAGCCGCGGUAAUACGUAGGUGGCAAGCGUUGUCCGGAUUUAUUGGGCGUAAAGCGAGCGCAGGCGGUCAAUUAAGUCUGAUGUGAAAGCCCCCGGCUCAACCGGGGAGGGUCAUUGGAAACUGGUUGGCUUGAGUGCAGAAGAGGAGAGUGGAAUUCCAUGUGUAGCGGUGAAAUGCGUAGAUAUAUGGAGGAACACCAGUGGCGAAGGCGACUCUCUGGUCUGUAACUGACGCUGAGGCUCGAAAGCGUGGGUAGCAAACAGG